RNAcentral lists this ribosomal RNA (433 nucleotides) under uncultured bacterium. Its description in RNAcentral is "partial 16S ribosomal RNA". It matches the Rfam family "Bacterial small subunit ribosomal RNA", at positions 29 to 507 of the family's 1533-position model. The record is from RNAcentral.
AACGAACGCUGGCGGCAUGCCUAACACAUGCAAGUCGAACGAGACCUUCGGGUCUAGUGGCGCACGGGUGCGUAACGCGUGGGAACCUGCCCUUAGGUUCGGAAUAACUCCCCGAAAGGGGUGCUAAUACCGGAUAAUGUCUUCGGACCAAAGAUUUAUCGCCUUUGGAUGGGCCCGCGUCGGAUUAGCUAGUUGGUAGGGUAAAAGCCUACCAAGGCGACGAUCCAUAGCUGGUCUGAGAGGAUGAUCAGCCACACUGGGACUGAGACACGGCCCAGACUCCUACGGGAGGCAGCAGUGGGGAAUAUUGGACAAUGGGCGAAAGCCUGAUCCAGCAAUGCCGCGUGAGUGAUGAAGGCCUUAGGGUUGUAAAGCUCUUUUACCCGGGAUGAUAAUGACAGUACCGGGAGAAUAAGCUCCGGGUAACUCCGUG